Molecule: long non-coding RNA, 4965 nt
Filed under: Sorghum bicolor (sorghum)
Lineage: Eukaryota; Viridiplantae; Streptophyta; Magnoliopsida; Poales; Poaceae
Description: long non-coding RNA (SBIC_LNC004193)
Source: RNAcentral
AACAACAUGGAAUGAGUCUUACUAGCUCCUUUGACAUCAUGCAUCAUGUGUAUUGUAUACUGGACUUCUCUCUCUUGUCUACCCAAGGGAAUAGUUAAUGAAGAUUAGGUUGGUUUAACAACUAGCGUAGUCACAAUAGUGGAUGCAAAACCAACAACUAAUUAACAUAGCCAUGAAAGUUGAACCUUCGAGCAGGGUGUCAAGUGGUACAUCGGAGAGAAAUUCGAUGAUGUCCUUCUCUAUGGUGCAUGCAGUCUCUAGCAUUUCCACACUGAUACAUGUGGCUAUAAAAAAGAAACAUGAAAUUAAUAUAAGAUGGUUUAGAUGCAAAUGACAAAGAAAUGUAGAAAAUGGUCAAGCAAAGCCAUACAACAAGGCAUAUAAUGACUUUUUUGCUUUCUCCAUGUUGGUCUAUCACCAAAAAGAGUUCAUCUUGAGAAUAGUUAUAUGGUAUCAACUGCAUGUCCCUAUGUUAGGAGAGAUAUGAGUUGUCAUGACCAACGAAGAUUAUCCUCGCAAGAAAGAUUUUCCCAAGGUUAAUGAGAUAAUUAUUAACCGAUGGAACAAAAUGAACAUCCCACUUCAUUGUCUAUCUUUUGCACUAUGCCCAAAGUUCUAUUAUAUUGAGUAUCUAAAAACACCUGCUCCUAGAGGCAUUCCUAGAAAAGCUCCAAAUCAAGACCAGGAGGUCAUGAGAGGGGUGGUAGAAGCUUUUUGUAAAAUAGCAGAUGAUGAUGUUGAACGAAAGAUAUUGCAAGAACAAUUUACUGCAUUUCACAUGAAAAAAGGAGUGUAUGCGUUGGUGGUUGUUCAGACUGACGCAACCAUAGUGACACCCAUUGAUUGGUGGUCUAACUAUGGCUUGGAGACUCCAAAUUGAGCAGAAGUUGCUUUGAAGGUUCUAUCUCACCCAAUCAAUAGCUCCUCGACUAAAAGAAGUUGGAGUACAUAUUCAUACGCAUGGAAUGUGAAGAGAAACAAGCUAAAUUAAAAAAAUAAAUUGGUUUAUGUCCACUCCAACAUUCGUCUUCAGUACAAGAUGUCCCUAACACCAAAUGGGAUGCAGAUCUAGAUGAUGCCUCCUUGGAGGAAUCAAGAUUGAAGCUUGAGCAAUUGUAUUGGAAGGAUUUGGAGAAGGAUGUGAUCAAUCAUCCUCUAGCUAAUGAACUUGGCUCAUUAUCAAAGAAGAUCACCAAGAACAAGAAUAAUUUAUUGGUAUGCCACUAUCCUAUAAUUAAAAUUUUAAACUAUGUAGUCUGUAGUAUAAGCUUUCACACAAACACUAUACUAAAAUACUGAAUCGGUGACUAUUAUUUGCAAGAGUGUAGGACAGACGGAGAGGAGCAGUGGACUACAGGAGCUAGGACUGCAGAAAUGUUUAGGAGAAUGAGCAUGGCAGCCCGCUGUCUUGGAUUUUUAGUCAUCUUUUCUUUGUUUAAUAAAUAAAGUUAGUGGUGAGAGUGUGAGAUAGAGAGUCAGAGUCAUAAACUAUUUGUAGAUUUAUCAUUUUGCUUUGUUAAAUUGGAUCAUGUAAUGAGUGAUUUAGUUAUGUACUUCAGUUUGCAUUGGACAUGUUUGUUGGUGAUUUAGUUAUUCCAUAAGUCAUAUACACAUAUAUUCAUGUGCCUUGGUUGCUUACGCCUUGUUUAGUUCACUCCAAAAACCAAAAAAAUUUCAAGAUUCUCUGUCACAUCGAAUCUUGCGGCACAUGCAUUAAGCACUAAAUAUAGAUGAAAAUAAAAACUAAUUACAUAGUUUACCUAUAAAUCAUGAGAUGAAUCUUUUAAGCCUAGUUACUCUAUAAUUGAAUAAUGUUUGUCAAAUAAAAACGAAAGUGUUACAAUCCCGAAAACCAAAAAGUUUUCGGAACUAAACAAGACCUUAGUAAUGUAUAAAUAUUGUAUUUAUGUAACAUAAAUCAAAGACCCAACUUACUCCAAAUCACAUACCUAUGCGACUCCUCAACUCAGGGUCAUCAACUUAGGUACCCUGAGUUCCCGACCAUCGUCUCUAGGCUUCGUGCCAGGUUCAUCGACUUAGGGCCACUGGGUUCACAACUCUCGACUCCAGUCUUCGUAUCAGGGUCAUCGACCAAAACCACUAGAGUUGUGACCCAUGACUCCAUACUUUGUACCAGAGACAUCAAACCAUAACAUUUGGAUUCACGUACCAAAUAUUUGGUUCUUGUCCCGUAGAGAUAUACCCCAUGUACCAUAUUUUUUUUAAAUUGUCGACCUGCGUCCUCUUGACCCCGUCCCUUGACUCGAUCGGCCCAUAAUGCUUGUGACUAUGAUCAAUGGGCACGACAAUUGCAAUGAUGGUGUAUCUACGUGCAUGCAUGAGUCAUGACUCAUGAGUGCGAUCGACACUAUAUAUCCUGCAGUGCGUUGCUUAAAUUGCAUGCAAAUCACUCAAUCAGAAACAACAUUGAUACGACGUCUAUUGAAUGGACGAAAUUUGCAUGGUUGCACAAUCAGUAGCCUAAAUAAUAUACAGUAUAGAAAUCUAAUAUGCUAAACAAACCACAUACUAGUAAUAACUAAAAGGCUUUUUACGAUGCUUAGAGGACUAGCAGCUCCACGCAGACAGAUUAAUCUCAGUUGCUGAUGUGGGAAAGAAAUUAAUUAAUGUAAUUAAUUUAUAGUAGGGGUAAUUUGGUAAUUGUAUGUGCAACCAUUACUUAGGCUAGAACUCUUUUUUGUCACAGGAACGCCAUGCAACAGAUCAACUCGCCGCUGUUGACUGCUCACUCAUGCAACCACACCAAUGCUUGCCCCUGGCCUGUUAUAGAGACUUGUUUGCAGCCACGUGGCUAGGGCUUGGUGCCACCCAAUAGACAAGGAUCAAUACCUCCCGGCGGACAGGGAUUGGUGCCGCCCACUUGUAGGGCCUCUUCGACAUUGUGCAUGUGUAGUCACUAUGGUGGCUUUGCAAUCUAUUUUGCAAACCUCCCACUACCCUUCGGAUCUAGGAGAAACAUGCUCGUCUCCAUUAGUUGGCAAUCAACAAUCGACCUCUGUUGCAUGUCUCAGAGACGAGUGAGGGAACUGCAAGACAAGGAGGCCCGCCAUGCGCAGCACUGCACUAGAGGUUCGUGAUUCGGCCACUCAUGUUGGGGUGGAUGUCUACUUGGUAAUGGCUGGCACGUGUCUACUCAGACCGGCGUUGGCUGGCGAUGGUGCAGACUAGUGUCGAGCGAAGGAGAGACAACACACUGGAGAUGAUGAGAAACACCAAAUGUAGUAUUUUACCCUUUGAAAUAAAUUUAGAACUAGUUUCUAGCCUCCAUAUUAUAGGUUUUAGCCCACGACUUUUCUCUUUAUUGUUUUUUAUCACUAUUAGAUCUAUUCAAAUAGAUGGGUAUAUUUUUUUCUAAUCACCGUAAAAUUUCUCAAUAACUAAUAAAAACAUACCUUCUCUACUAGGAAUCCAUAUCGUCGCCUGGCUCAUUAGCGGCCGUCCGGCGCGGCUGGCUGAGCGCAUUGCUGCCGGCAGCCGCCCUCCGCGUAGGAAGACCAGCGCUCAGAGGUGACUCCGUUGACUGAUGAGGACGCCGGUGGAUGCAGAGGCCGUGCAGGCGAUCUCGGUCAGAGACAGCCGUGGAGGACGCCGGCCGGUGUCGUUGCAGGCCGAGAGAGGAUGGGGAUGGCCCUUCCAUUGCCUGAUCUGCCCGCCACGCAAUCACCUUGUUAUUAAUAAAUAUAAGCACACAUAUAAUAAGGCAACAAAUCAAAUCAAGGCUGGUAUGGAAAGGCAUCAAUCAUGACAACCAUAGAUUGAACGAAGAUUACAAAACACGGCAACCACGGUUUGGUUGGGCAUGCGGUGCGGGCGAAAAAAGAAAAGGUGUGCGUUCCAUCCAAGCGUCAAGUUUCGGGUCCGCCCUUGUCCGUUGAGCGUGGUUUUGGUUCUGAGUUAUUCUAGUUUUUAUAUGUUUUGUUCUUUCCAAAAAUGUUAAAAACAACGAAUAAAAGCAACUAUGCUGGAAAAACCUUGAGUCUUUCCUAUAAAAUAAAGAUUUCCGUUAUCAAACUGUUUAGAAGUGAUUUUGAUUAAGAACAAAACUCAUCUUCAGGACAACUAUUGGGUUCGAACAUGUCGCUGCUGCAUAAGGAGGACGAAACAAGAAAGAACAUGAAAAAUUGUUACAAAUUUUGGGAGAUGGCCGAGAUCUUCGCUAAGUUUGGGUGAAGUUCUCAAAUAGAAUUGAAGCCUAGUUUUCUUUCUAUUUAGUUAUCUAGACUUUGGGGUUUUUUAUAUUAUAUCUCUCUAAUGUAUUUAGAUAUAAGCCUAAUAGCUCGUGGUUUGUAUUUGAUCAAUCUCUUAUCUAAAAUUCAAAAUUUGGUUUAGUCAAUGGUUCAACUAUUCAAAUCGAGAACUAAAAUAUGAAAUAGUUUAUUGUCCUGUCUAGUGUCUAGUCUAAAAAAAUGUGCCUCCAAGUUGUAUGCAUAAACCAAUGCCACAACUAACUUCGUGUUGUCAUCGGGGUCAGUCAACCCCUAUAAAAUUUGACAAACACUAUACAAACUUACUAUUAGGCCUUGUUUAGUUCACUCUGAAAUUCAAAAACUUUUCAAGAUUCUCCGUCACAUCAAAUCUUGUGACACAUGCAUGAAGCACUAAAUAUAAACGAAAACAAAAAUUAAUUGCACAAUUUAUCUCUAAUUUACGAGACGAAUCUUUUAAGCCUAGUUAGUCUAUAGUUGGAGAAUAAUUAUCAAAUACAAACGAAAGUGUUACAGUAUCAAAAUCUAAAAUCUUUUCAAUACUAAACAAGGCCUUAGCGAGUACAUUUUGGUGAUGAUUAUUGGAGCCGACCCUGGUGACUUCACUGUCGCUGUCGCUUUGCCUCUGCUAACUCCUUAGUCCUUAUCGAUUUGAAUCAAAUAAUUGAAUUACAGAUAUUUAUGCAUUCUCAAAGGAAGUUUUUUUUUUCUUGCGACAGCAUUCUCAAAGAAAGUUACC